CUGGGCCGUGGGAGGGAGCAUACAGACAUCUGGACCAAGCGGAAACGAGUUAGUUGUGCAGCUGUCGCAACGCUUUGAUCCCCUGCUGCUUGGUUGGGGCGUUUGAGAAAUGAUGCAGGUGCUGAUGUGCAGCCAGGCUUUGAGGCUGAGUCUGCAGAGCAGGGGCAGGUGGUGAACCUCAUGAAGCAAUGCCUGCAGACGGGGUUUGCAGAGCAAGAGGUC
This is a long non-coding RNA of Gallus gallus (chicken), 222 nucleotides long. RefSeq lists it as uncharacterized. The transcript is spliced from 3 exons. The record is from RefSeq and is a predicted model, not a curated record. NCBI's taxonomy places the organism in Eukaryota, Metazoa, Chordata, Aves, Galliformes, Phasianidae.